UAAAUGCAUGUAGAGAAAAGAUAAACCUAAUCAACCCAAGUCAUUUCACCGACAGUUGAACUCCACAAUGCUUUUUGAAUCGUUAUUUCAAGGUUGUCCAUCCAUUAUGUCGAUAGCUCUGCCCAAAAAGAUACAUCCAUUGCUAUCCCUUAAACUUCACCCACUGUUUUCUAUCAUCUUCUAGUCUGGUCUCCUUCCCCAACGUUCUUCCGGAAACGAGUUUGGUAGAUUCGGGUCUUCUUGAACUAGGUAAGAGGUUACUUCGCUCGCUAAAGCUUCUUUUGCAAUCUUAUGGGCACACGAGUUUUCUGUUCUGGGAAUAUGUUGGAAUUUUAUUGUUUGAAAAUGAACACUCUUACUUUGAAUGUCCCGUAUGAUUGCUCCUAUUACUGAUUUAUCUGCUUCUGUUGAUUGACACUUUCUGAUUACUGUUCGCGAAUCCCCUUUGAUUUGUACUUCUUGAAAACCCAUUGAAAUCCCUAACUUAAUUGCUUCCAAUCUUGCGUAUGCUUCUGCCGCGAACGGAGAUGAAACAUUAUUGUGAAGGACCGCCUUGGAGGCCAGCAAUUCGUCCCUAAGCCCAAACCACCACUCUAGACACAGAUUUGAAAGUUCUUUUGUCAAACGCCGCGUCAAAGUGCACUUUAAUCUUUGGCAAGACUUACAUAUUUCUGUAUCUUCUAGCCUUAUCUGGGUUUUCCUGCUUUGCUAUCGUCCCCUUAUAACUUAGAAUUUUCUGUGCUAGUUGUCUUCCUGUUAUAGACACCUGCUCAUGUACAAACUGGUUUCUGGAAUACCAAGUUAGCCCUAAAGCAUAACAGAAAAGUCGACUCUGCUCCUCAGACUCUUUCAUGAAUACCCAGGUAAUCUAGUUCCAUAACUCAAAGAUUAAGUUAUUAUUGACCCAAGAGAGAUCUAAAAGAUGCCAAACUUCUAUACUUGUAGGACAGUGUCUGAAUAUGUGAGGGCAAUCCUCAUCCCUUGAGCUACAACGGAGGCAUUGGACGUUCGUGAGUACUUGUAAAUGCCUAAAUUUCAACGAUGUCGAAAAUAGUGGUUUUAGACCAUCAAAUCCGACAAAUGAACUCGUAAAUUAUAUUAUUUAAUAUUUACGAGCCAAAUGUAGUUUUUAAAAUAUUUUUAGAAUAGUAAAUUGUGUUUUAUAAAGAUUUAUUUGGUCAAGAAAUUAAGAAAAAGAGAUAUCGAGAUCUCGAUGUUAUAAACCGAGCUAUAAAUAUUUUUAUAAAUAUUUACGGAAUGUCAAUAAGGUAGUAUUAAAAUUUCGUUAGAAAAUUUUGACGUUUGGGUGGUCAAUUAAAUAAAAAGGAUUAAAUUGGAAAAUGUGUAAAAGUUGCUAAAAGGAUUAAUAGUUCAAUUGUCAAAUGAGGAAGGACUUAAAGUGAAAAUAAGCUCAAAGGAGAUAAUUUGGGCGGCAAUAGCUGAGAAAAAUCAGGAAAUGGGUGAAAUAAGGAUAAAAUUGGAAAAUUAUCAAAAAUAGCUAAAUAAAAAUGGGACUAAAUUGGAAUAUCUAGAAUUCUCUUUAUUUCUCUUCAUAUUCAUCAGAUGAAAAACAGCCAUGGAAGGGGGAAAACAGCAAUGGAAGGGGGUUCAAGCUGGUUUUCAUAUUUUAGCUUCAUGUAAGUUUAAUUCUUGCUUUCUCCUUGAAAUUUCUAUAUUUUUGAAAUUUUACAAUUGGGUCUAACUUACUAUUUCAUUAGUUUUUGAUUCCAUGACUAAUUUUUAAAAUUUUUAUGGAUGAGUGCUAAAAUAAUAUGAUGAAUAAUCAUAGAAUUGAAUCUUUACUUUUGGUAUAUAAUGAUUUUAUCAAGUACAAUUGAUGGAAAUUCAUUUUAGGACCUAAUUAAGAAAGAGUUUGGAAUUAAUGUCUAAUGCUAAAGUUCUGAUUUUUAGGGGUUAUGAAGAAGUUUAAAAUUAUAAAAUAAAGUAUUAAUUGAGAAAAAUUAUCUCAAUUGAGGGGUUAAUUGAGCAAGGACUGAAUUGUAUAAACUGUGAAAUUUGAGGCAAAAUGGAAAUUAAUAUUUUUCACUAAAACUGUUUUGGAUAGCAGCAGUAGUGUAACUUUGAAAAAUCACCAAAAAUUGUAUAAAUCUGAUUAGAAGAUUAUUAAAAUAUGAAAUUAAAGCUUAUUGAGUCUAGUUUCUUAUAAAAGAAAAGAUGUAAGCAAUGGAAUUGUGAAUCAUGAGAUAUAAUAAAUUUUAUGAGACAAGGUCAGAAUGAUUUUGGGUUCCCAUGUUUUGACUUUGGAAAAUCAUAAAAAAUUGGAUAAAAAUAAUUAGGGGCUUAAAUUUAUAUGUUUAGAAUCCUUAAUGAGCCUAUUUUCCAUAAAAACAAAUUACAAUAUCAUUUGAAUCUUGUACGAGGAUAUAAUCAAUUUUUAGUGAAGAAGAGUCAGAACUGUUAGACAGUAGAACAGGGGUAACAUUAAAGAAUAAACUGUACUUAUUAGCUAAACCAAAAAUUCUAAAAAUUUGAAGGUAAGAAGAUAUAUGAGUCUAGUUUCAGGGAAAAUUAUCAGAUCUUAAUUUGAAGUUAUAUAGCUCCAAAUAUAAAUAAUUUAGUGAUUAUGAUACAGAUGGACAGCUUGAAAAUUCAUAAAAGUAAAUAAUAAAGAUUAUAGAUAAUGUUACUUACAAGUGUGUUAUAUACAUUAAGGAUGUGGAAUGGAGAGGAGGAGGAGGAAAAUAUAUAUGAAUAUUUAGCUAGCAUGGCUAAUUUGCAUGUUUUAGGCUUAAAGACUGAAUUGAAUAAAAGUAAAACAUUAUGAGGUAAUUUUGUAAAAAUGUCAAAAAUGACCAAAUUGAAGGGAAUAAAUUUUUUUAUUAUCUAAAUUAAUAAAUUGAAUGAAAUUUUCAAUUUAAGAUCGGGUGAAAAUUGGGAAAAUAGUAAAUUACCAAAAUGCCUUUUAUCUUGAUAUUUCUACAAUUUCGCCAAGUAAGUUCGUGUAACUUGAAUUAUAUUCUUAAAUGCUUGAAAUGCAUGUUUUUGUUAUAUGAAUAUGAUUUGAAUGUUCAUUAUAUGGAAAUUUAUGAAACAUUGAUAUAUUUGAAAAAAAAGGGAAAAAAAUCCCGGUUGAAUAGAAAGAAAUUCGAUGGAUCUCUGAAAAAGAAUUGACGGUAAAAAGGAUCUAGCCCGGACGGGUGAUCCUAUCUUGAUAUAGCCCUCCCGAAGAAUAUGUGGAAAAUGGAUUUAGCCCAGACGGGUAAUCCGAAUUAGGGUCUGAAUUUAGCCUGGACUGGUAAUUCAGAUCCAAGCUCAUUAGAGUAAUUGUCGUUGCAGGGGAUUUAGCCUGGACUGGUAAUCCCGACAAUACUCUAUGAGUUUAUAUUACAAGGGAUUUAGCCUGGACUGGUAAUCACACUGUAAGGAUGAGGUUCGCGGGAAUGUGCUCUCUAAUAUGAAAUUUGUAAGACCAUGGUUGAAAGAUACCAUGACAACGUGAUAUGAAAUGAAUAAGACCAUGGUUGAAAGAUACCAUGACAACUUGACAUGAAAUGAGUAAGACCAUGGUUGAAAGAUAUCAUGGCAACAUGACGGGAAAAUGAAUAAGACAAUGGUUGAAAGAUACUAUGGCAACAUGACAAAAAACGAGUAAAACCAUAGUUGAAAGAUACUAUGACAUCAUGUCGAAGAUAAAUAAGAUCGAGGAAGAGAAACGCCAAAAUAUCUAUUGAACAAUCGAUAUUCAGGUAAUAUGUAUCAGAUGGAAUGGUUAUAUGAAAUGGUUGUGUAAAAUGCUUACAGGAAUUGGUCAUAUGGAAAUAUAUGUACAAAAUAGUUGUAUGAAAUAAUUAAGAAGAUAGAUAAAUGAAAUAAGUAUAAGUACAUGGAAUCACGACAUUUUUCUCGGUCACUUGUGUAAUUGACUCCUCCAUCAGAAACCCGUUUUUGGAAACCAAUCUCUAAUCAACACCUUCCUAAUCAAGAUGCUUAUGAUGCAUGAUGAAAAAUAAAAAUAAGAAUAAAGACAAACAACCUUGGUUAGUAAUCACAAUAAAUAUGAACUGAGAAAAACUAUGGAAACUCUAACAAAUUAAGCUACCCAGUUCAAUUCUUUUGCAUAAACAAUGUAAAUGUAACGGAAAUGAAAGGCAAGAAUUGUUUCUCUCGUGUACUUAUUUUGGUGACUAUUAAAGGAUAGAGGUUCGGCAUGGCUCUAAUUAGGUGGCUCAUAUGGUUCACUACAUGCGGUUUCGGUUCUAGACAGGUACUCGAAUUGUUCAUACUGUCAUCUACUAAGAUUAGUACAGAACCUCGCUCAUUGCCUAUCACAGGCUUAUGAGUUCAAUUCGAGGGAUUACAUUUACUUAUGCCUACGCGGAGGGACAAGUUAACUCACGAAAGCAUAAGUCAUAUAUAACCUAGAAGUAUUCACUAGCCUGUGCGGAGGGACGAGUUAACUCACGAAGGCAUAGCGUUUACUUCCAUUUAAGCGAACGGAGCCCGGGUAGAGAGCUCAUGUUAUGCAAAAAAUGCAAUUGCACAGUGUGUAGGGAGAAACUCACAAACCUUUACGUUUUAUUUAAAAACUAAACUAAAAACUAAAACCAUACAAACUUAGAGCUGAAAAACAACAAGACAAAACAAGUUAGAAGAAUAUUUACAACACGAUGCAAAUACAUGACUUUUCAAAAAUAAAAUUUAAGGAUCACGACUAAAUAUUAAUUUGAAUAAGGAAUUUUGAAAAUUUUGACAACGUGCGUUUAAUUCUAGACUCGACUCUCAAAAAAAAAUCCCCAGUGGAGUCGCCAGCUGUAGCUACGUAAAAAUUUCGCUUUGAUCGCUAGUUGAGGCGAUUAUUUGAAAAUUUGAAAAUUUGAAAAUGGAAUUUCGGUUUUAAAAAGAAAAGGAGUAGCCACCGAUCUUUUUUCUAGGUGUGAUCGGACACCUAAUAAAUCUUCUUUUUAGAAAAGAAAAUUUAUUCUUGAACAAAAAUGAAGGCUGAAUUUGGGUCCACGCGAAAAUCCAGAGGAAAAUAGGGUUCAGGAGUCGGUUACGCGCGAGAAAGGUAUUAGCACCCUCGCGACGCCCAAACUUGGUAUCUUGUUAAAUACGCGUUGUCUUAAUUCUCAAAAAUACAAGUUUAAUUUUAUAUUUAAUCGCGAUCCGAUUGAAAUACAAGAAUUCAAAAUUUUUGGUUUUUUAGAAGGACGUCUCGUUUUUAACACGAGCCAAUGAUAUUCACCCAACAUAGCGAUGAAAUCAAUGACUUAGUGUUGAAAUCGGUACGUUACCUUAUUUAUUAAAAUUAAUUAAAAACAUAAAAAAUAAUAUUAUUCGCAACAAGAAUUUGUAAAUAAUGCAAACGAUGAUACAAUUAAUGAAAAAUAUUAAAAUACAAUAUUAGAAUAAAAAUAACAAUAAUAUUAAUAUAUACAUAAAUAAUAACAGAAAUGAUAAUAAUAAUAAUGACACGAUAAGUCAAAGUAGAAAAUAAUAAAAUAUUAUCAAUAGUGACAACAUAGAUUAAUAAAAUGAUGACAUGUUAACAAGAACAAUAAUAAUUAAUAAUUAAUAAUGCUAAAUUAAUUAAUAAUAAAAUAAUAAAUAAAUAAACACAAAAAGGAAGACAUAUAAUAUAAUAAUAUAAAAAUAAAGUAAUUAAAAAUAAUACUAUAUAUAAAUAUAUAUACACAUAUAAUAGAAACAUACACUAAUAUUAAUAAUAAUAAUAAUAGUAAUAAUAUGUAUUAAAUGGUAAAAGAAUAAUAGUAACAAUAAAUUAAAAAAAUGAUAAUAGUAAUAAAAAUAAAAAUAAUAGCGAUAAUAAUAAUAAUAAUAAAUAGUAAUAAUAAUACAUUAAUAAUAAUAUGUUAAUAACAAUAAAUUAAUGAAUUAAUAACAAAACAGUAAGUAAAUAAACACAAAAAUAAGAUAUAAUUAUAAUAGUAAUAUUAACAAAAUAAUAAUAAUAAUAAUAAUAAUAUAUUAAUAAAAAAUAAUAAUAAAAGGAAUAAAAACAAUGUUAAUAACAAGAAUAUUAAUAAUGGUAACAAUAACAAUAAUAUAAAUAAUAAUAUAUACAUGAGAAAAAAAAUAUAAUAAUAAUAAUGAUAGAAGUAGCAGUAAUAAAAUAAAUAUAAAUAUAAGUAUAAUAAUAAUAACAUAAUAAAACAACAAAAGUAAUGAAAUGGACGAAAUUAAAACUAAAAACGAAGUUUUGGGGCAAAUUUGAAAUAAAAAUAAAGGGGAGGAUCUAUCCGAACACGCGAAUAACAUGGAGGGACUGGUUUCGUAAUUAUACCCUAUCCCUAAAACGACGCUGUUCCAAUGUCCAUCCCUCAAAUGAUCAGAGGACCAAAUUGAAACAAAGUUAAAAUUAUAAGGCAGAAUUAAGAAACAGAAAAAAGACUGGAUUAAAACAUAAUAACAAUGCGGAAGGACCAUGCGCGCAAUUAUCCCAAAUAACAGAAACACGCGGAUCCCUUUGCAGAGCAGAUUGGGUCUUCGGGUCUGUGCCUAAACGACGCCGUUUUGGGGUGUUUUGCAACUGAAUGAAACGGUGGCGUUUUGUAGUGUUAUAAAAGGCCCUUUUUUUUUGCAAAAUCUUCGUUUUCUCUUUUCUUUCUUCAAAAAACGUGAGGGUUCUCUCAUCCCCCUCUGUCCCGGGGCCGGAGUCCGGCAAGGGAAUCGCCGUUGACCACCGUCGCCGGCUACCGUGCACGGUGGCUGGAAAUUAAAAAGGUAUAUAUAUAUUUUUUUGAAAAUUUUCUGAUUCUUUAGUUUUUAUUUCGUAUUUUAUGUAUGUACAAAUGCAAAAAGGGGAUUUCGAAAGUAAAAAAAAAAAACAACAAAAAUAAAAUCACCUAGGGUUUUUGAUCUUGCUCUUUUAGUAUUUAGAUUCUUCGAUUUGAUGCUAUUUUCCUGAUUCGUUGUUGUUGAGAUCACUGUUUUGCUCUCCUGUUAAAAAAAUCUAAGGCUUUUGUAUUUCAAAAUUUGUCGAAUCCCCCUUUUGUUUUAGACUUGGCUCUUUAUAGCCAUUUACACGUGAUUUGCUACUGCCUAUUAUGUGUUUUGUCCUUUUUUGCAGGUGACGGAACGAGAGCAGGUGGUAGCAGGUGGAGAGGUGGUAUGGUGGCUGACGUGGGGAGGUCAGACAGUAGGGGCAGCACACCUAGGGGCUAGGUUUUUUUUCUUUCUGAAAACUUUGAAGUUUUGGGCCUUUUAGGUUUGGGCUAGGGUUUUUUUUAUUUGGGCUUAGUUGGGCUGUUUGGGAUUGGGUCUAGUUUAGUUUAAUUGGGUU
RNAcentral lists this long non-coding RNA (7261 nucleotides) under Gossypium barbadense (sea-island cotton). Its description in RNAcentral is "long non-coding RNA (GBAR_LNC007775)". The record is from RNAcentral. Lineage: Eukaryota; Viridiplantae; Streptophyta; Magnoliopsida; Malvales; Malvaceae.